This 256-nucleotide ribosomal RNA is filed under the name uncultured bacterium. Its description in RNAcentral is "partial 16S ribosomal RNA". It matches the Rfam family "Bacterial small subunit ribosomal RNA", at positions 98 to 354 of the family's 1533-position model. The record is from RNAcentral.
CGGGACGGGUGAGUAACGCGUGGGUAACCUGCCCCAUACAGGGGGAUAACAGUUAGAAAUGACUGCUAAUACCGCAUAAGCGCACUGCAUCGCAUGAUGGAGUGUGAAAAACUGAGGUGGUAUGGGAUGGGCCCGCGUCUGAUUAGCCAGUUGGCGGGGUAACGGCCCACCAAAGCGACGAUCAGUAGCCGACCUGAGAGGGUGACCGGCCACAUUGGGACUGAGACACGGCCCAAACUCCUACGGAAGGCAGCAG